CAGAAGCUUCCUAUGUACUAUUUCAUUUUAUACUUAAAACAAUAUUCCAUGCAAAAUGCUAUAAUUUCCCUAUACCUCCAAUUUGCACAUGAUAAAACUGGGCCUCGUAAAGUUUUCACCCCAGAGUUCUCUGCUUAGUAAGAAGUAGAAGGAAGUCUAAACCUAGGUCAUCUGAUUUCAGAGCCCAUAUAGUUAAAAUGCUCUAAAUGCAGCUUCCCAUGGUGAUGGUGACUAUGAGAGCCUGUCACAUAUGAUGUAGGACCCCAGUGCUUCCCUGUAACAUGUGCAAGAUUCCUGUGAUGACGGUGACUAUGAAAGCCUGUCACAUACGAUGUAGAACAGUGCUUCCCUGUAACAUGCGCAAGAUUCCCAUGAUGAUGGUGACUAUGAGCCUUUCACAUAUGACGUAGGACAGUGCUUCCUCUGUAACAUGCACAAGAUUCCCGUGAUGAUGGUGACUAUGAGAGCCUGUCACAUACGAUGUAGGACAGUGCUUCCCUGUAACAUGCAGAAGAUUCCCGUGAUGAUGGUGACUAUGAGAGCCCGUCACAUAUGAUGUAGGACAGUGCUUCCCUGUAACAUGUACAAGAUUCCCGUGAUGAUGGUGAGUAUGAGAGCCUGUCACAUAUGAUGUAGGACAGUGCUUCCUCUGUAACAUGCACAAGAUUCACCCGUGGAUCUUAUUAAAAUGGAAACUCAUAGACCACACUUUGACUAGCUAAGAUAGGAGCAUUUAAAUGGAUGUCUUGGUGACAGUGCUAAGAUGCUACUGUUCAUGUGGGCACUGGCUCACCAUAUUAAUGAAGCUUAGGACCUCCAGUCC
Molecule: long non-coding RNA, 823 nt
Filed under: Homo sapiens (human)
Lineage: Eukaryota; Metazoa; Chordata; Mammalia; Primates; Hominidae
Description: non-protein coding lnc-FOXD4L5-17:1
Source: RNAcentral